This 824-nucleotide ribosomal RNA is filed under the name uncultured bacterium. RNAcentral's name for it is "bacterial SSU rRNA". It matches the Rfam family "Bacterial small subunit ribosomal RNA", at positions 66 to 882 of the family's 1533-position model. The record is from RNAcentral.
ACGGUAGCACAGAGAGCUUGCUCUCGGGUGACGAGUGGCGGACGGGUGAGUAAUGUCUGGGAAACUGCCUGAUGGAGGGGGAUAACUACUGGAAACGGUAGCUAAUACCGCAUAACGUCGCAAGACCAAAGAGGGGGACCUUCGGGCCUCUUGCCAUCAGAUGUGCCCAGAUGGGAUUAGCUAGUAGGUGGGGUAACGGCUCACCUAGGCGACGAUCCCUAGCUGGUCUGAGAGGAUGACCAGCCACACUGGAACUGAGACACGGUCCAGACUCCUACGGGAGGCAGCAGUGGGGAAUAUUGCACAAUGGGCGCAAGCCUGAUGCAGCCAUGCCGCGUGUAUGAAGAAGGCCUUCGGGUUGUAAAGUACUUUCAGCGGGGAGGAAGGUGUUGUGGUUAAUAACCGCAGCAAUUGACGUUACCCGCAGAAGAAGCACCGGCUAACUCCGUGCCAGCAGCCGCGGUAAUACGGAGGGUGCAAACGUUAAUCGGAAUUACUGGGCGUAAAGCGCACGCAGGCGGUCUGUCAAGUCGGAUGUGAGAUCCCCGGGCUCAACCUGGGAACUGCAUUCGAAACUGGCAGGCUAGAGUCUUGUAGAGGGGGGUAGAAUUCCAGGUGUAGCGGUGAAAUGCGUAGAGAUCUGGAGGAAUACCGGUGGCGAAAGCGGCCCCCUGGACAAAGACUGACGCUCAGUGCGAAAGCGUGGGGAGCAAACAGGAUUAGAUACCCUGGUAGUCCACGCCGUAAACGAUGUCGACUUGGAGGUUGUGCCCUUGAGGCGUGGCUUCCGGAGCUAACGCGUUAAGUCGACCGCCUGGGGAGUA